UUCCUAUCUAGGGUCAUGUCCUCGGUGAGCUGUAACUGCUCCAUGUCUCGCCUAAUCACCUCACCCCAGUACUUCUUCGGCCUACCCCUACCCCGCUUAAAACCAUCCAACGCUAGCCUCUCACACCUACGGACCGGGGCAUCCACGCCCCUCCUCUUCACAUGUCCGAACCAUCUCAAUCGAGCUUCCCGCAUCUUGCACUCCACUGGUGUCACACCAACCUUCUCCUGGAUGUUCUCAUUCCG
This 245-nucleotide long non-coding RNA is filed under the name Capsicum annuum. RNAcentral's name for it is "long non-coding RNA (CANN_LNC011271)". The record is from RNAcentral. Lineage: Eukaryota; Viridiplantae; Streptophyta; Magnoliopsida; Solanales; Solanaceae.